RNAcentral lists this ribosomal RNA (346 nucleotides) under uncultured bacterium. RNAcentral describes it as "partial 16S ribosomal RNA". It matches the Rfam family "Bacterial small subunit ribosomal RNA", at positions 338 to 701 of the family's 1533-position model. The record is from RNAcentral.
CCUACGGGUGGCAGCAGUGAGGAAUAUUGGGCAAUGGAGGCAACUCUGACCCAGCCAUGCCGCGUGAGUGAAGAAGGUUUUCGGAUUGUAAAGCUCUUUCGGAGGAGACGAAGAUGACGGUAGCAGCUAAAGAAGCACCGGCAAACGACGUGCCAGCAGCCGCGGUAAGACGAAGGGGGCAAGCGUUGUUCGGAAUUACUGGGCGUAAAGGGAGUGUAGGCGGUUUAGUAAGAUAGUGUUGAAAUCCCAGAGCUUAACUUUGGAAUUGCCAUUAUAACUAUUAGACUAGAUUUACAGAGAGGAUAGUGGACUUCCCAGUGUAGCGGUGAAAUUCGUAGAUAUUGGG